RNAcentral lists this ribosomal RNA (515 nucleotides) under uncultured bacterium. RNAcentral's name for it is "partial 16S ribosomal RNA". It matches the Rfam family "Bacterial small subunit ribosomal RNA", at positions 28 to 523 of the family's 1533-position model. The record is from RNAcentral.
GAUGAACGCUGGCGGCGUGCCUAAUACAUGCAAGUCGAGCGAAUGGAUUAAGAGCUUGCUCUUAUGAAGUUAGCGGCGGACGGGUGAGUAACACGUGGGUAACCUGCCCAUAAGACUGGGAUAACUCCGGGAAACCGGGGCUAAUACCGGAUAACAUUUUGAACCGCAUGGUUCGAAAUUGAAAGGCGGCUUCGGCUGUCACUUAUGGAUGGACCCGCGUUGCAUUAGCUAGUUGGUGAGGGAACGGCUCACCAAGGCAACGAUGCGUAGCCGACCUGGGAGGGUGAUCGGCCACACUGGGACUGAGACACGGCCCAGACUCCUACGGGAGGCAGCAGUAGGGAAUCUUCCGCAAUGGACGAAAGUCUGACGGAGCAACGCCGCGUGAGUGAUGAAGGCUUUCGGGUCGUAAAACUCUGUUGUUAGGGAAGAACAAGUGCUAGUUGAAUAAGCUGACACCUUGACGGUACCUAACCAGAAGGCCACGGCUAACUACGUGCCAGCAGCCGCGGUAA